Molecule: ribosomal RNA, 253 nt
Filed under: uncultured bacterium
Lineage: Bacteria
Description: partial 16S ribosomal RNA
Rfam family: Bacterial small subunit ribosomal RNA
Source: RNAcentral
CACGUAGGGCGCAAGCGUUGUCCGGAAUUAUUGGGCGUAAAGAGCUCGUAGGCGGUCUGUUACGUCUGCUGUGAAAGUCCAGGGCUCAACCCUGGAAUGCCGGUGGAUACUGCCGGGCUAGAGUCCGGAAGAGGCGAGUGGAAUUCCUGGUGUAGCGGUGAAAUGCGCAGAUAUCAGGAGGAACACCGAUGGCGAAGGCAGCUCGCUGGGACGGUACUGACGCUGAGACGCGAAAGCGUGGGGAGCAAACAGG